Molecule: long non-coding RNA, 1221 nt
Filed under: Mus musculus (house mouse)
Lineage: Eukaryota; Metazoa; Chordata; Mammalia; Rodentia; Muridae
Description: long non-coding RNA chr1:172181852-172183073
Source: RNAcentral
AUAGUUUUUAGCAUUUCAAUGCACAAAGGAGUAAAAUACUCAGAUCUUUUCUUUUAUUAAGGUUAAUGUUUUUCGUCCCUGUCCAUUUGUGUGCCCCUAGUAUCUUAGCAGACUGUCUCCUUGGCAGGAGUGCAUAUGCAUUUUGCACCACACUGAUUCUGCAGAGCAGAAUCCUUUUGGUACCAGAUCGUCUCUGAUGUUAUAUUCAUUUCAGCUUCUCUGACACUUUAGCUUACUGAAUGGUGUUGGAAUAUCUUAUUUUCUGGUACAAAUUUGAAAACAUUUAUACCAAAUAUCUCAUUUGGUAUAAUAAACCAUUGCUUUUGAUACUGGCCUAAAAGAAUUUCUACAGUUUUCUUUCAAGAAAGAAGCAAGGAAUACAGAGAAAUAGCUUGUUUAACCUCAAGACUUCACAUAACUAUUGCUGUAUUUUAUUUUAGGAUUGUGAAAAAGCAUUUGAAGGCAGGUUUAAGGAGACAGACUUUUUUAUCUGAAGCCAAAGCAGACAAAAAGAAAAGAAACUUGCAAAUGGAAAAAAAAGAAAUUAACAAAUGGAGGCAAUUCGAGUGUGAGCUUCAACGAUGAAACUAUAUAGAUUGACUUAAGAGUUUGGGGGAGCACAGGUUAGAGCAGUUGUCCACUGUAGUUGAACCCCUAAAUAAAUAAAUAAAUACCAAAAAAAACCCCAAAGUUUUACAAUACAACCUAGUGGUUAGAAUGAAAUGCCACUCCCCCCUUUGGGGGGGGUGUUUGUUUGUUUGUUUGUUGAGACAGGGUUUCUCUGUAGCCCUGGCUGUCCUGGAACUCACUCUGUAGACCAGGUAGGUCUCGAACUCAGAAAUCCACCUGCCUCUGCCUCCCAAGUGCUGGGAUUAAAGGUGUGCGCCACCACUGCCUGAAAUGCCACCUUUUUAGAGCAUCACACCCAUGUUGGGUAGCUCACGGGUAUCUGUAAUUCCAGCUCUGGGAUCUAGUGCCCUCACUGCUGUGGAUACCUGCAUCGGUUUGCUCAUCCCACAUCCAGGUUAUACAUAUGCAGAAUCAAAGAUCCUGUUUCAAAAAUACAGUUUUACUGGAACAUAGCCAUAAUAGUCAUAAUCAGUCACAUAUUCAUUCACCAGCAUCAUGUUCAGCUCGGAUGCCUGAUGGCCCGCCAGGCUUCUCUGUCCUGGUGAACAGUGUGCCAACUCAUAGUCUGGCAUCCUAUUUUAUGAUUGGAGG